GGGCGCUUGGUCUAGGGGUAGUAAGUUCACCUUGUGUCAGGUGGCUACAGUUGGUCCUAACAAAAUCACCAGUGAUUUUCGUUUCGCAUGCGCUCCAGCAUUGUCUAUGAAAGGUCGUGGGUUCAAUUCCCACAGCGUCCA
Hyaloscypha sp. PMI_1271 is the source of this 141-nucleotide non-coding RNA. Lineage: Eukaryota; Fungi; Ascomycota; Leotiomycetes; Helotiales; Hyaloscyphaceae. The record is from the annotation of a GenBank genome assembly.